CACCGCCUGGGGAGUACGACCGCAAGGUUAAAACUCAAAUGAAUUGACGGGGACCCGCACAAGUAGUGGAGCAUGUGGUUUAAUUCGAAGAUACGCGCAGAACCUUACCAACACUUGACAUGUUCGUCGCGACUCUAAGAGAUUAGAGUUUUCGGUUCGGCCGGACGAAACACAGGUGCUGCAUGGCUGUCGUCAGCUCGUGUCGUGAGAUGUUGGGUUAAGUCCCGCAACGAGCGCAACCCUCACUUUUAGUUGCCAUCAUUAAGUUGGGCACUCUGAAAGAACUGCCAGUGAUAAGCUGGAGGAAGGUGGGGAUGACGUCAAGUCCUCAUGGCCCUUACGUGUUGGGCUACACACGUGCUACAAUGGUAUCUACAACAGGAAGCAAGACUGCGAAGUUAAGCAAAUCCUUAAAAGAUACCUCAGUUCGGAUUGCACUCUGCAACUCGAGUGCAUGAAGCUGGAAUUACUAGUAAUCGUGGAUCAGCGUGCCACGGUGAAUGCGUUCCCGGGUCUUGUACACACCGCCCGUCACACCAUGGGAGUUGGUUCUACCUUAAGGCAAGGUUUAAUACCCUUGACCACGGUAUAGUCAGCGACUGGGGUGAAGUCGUAACAAGGUAGCCGUAGGGGAACCUGCGGCUGGAUUACCUCCUUUCUAAGGAUGAAUGAAAUUAAUAUUUCAUUCUAAAUAAUAAACAGGUUAAUGUUGACCGUCCUCAUUUCUCUUCUUAAGUUUAGUGUUUCUCUUGCAUGGGGGCCGGUAGCUCAGUUGGUUAGAGCACACCCUUGAUAGGGGUGGGGUCGAAAGUUCGAGUCUUUCUCGGCCCACCAUUAUUUUUUAUCAAAAGGGGGAUUAGCUCAGCUGGGAGAGCGCCUGAUUUGCAUUCAGGAGGUCAGCGGUUCGAUCCCGCUAUCCUCCACCAAAAAACACUUAGUUAUGUAAAAUUGUGAAUAAAUAAUAAUUAAUAUCAAUAUCUAUAUCCGAAUAUUAGUUAGAUAUUAACUAAUAUUCAAAAAAAUUUGAUUCAACACAGAAUUUUUUUCUG
This 1049-nucleotide small RNA is filed under the name uncultured Pelagibacterales bacterium. RNAcentral's name for it is "bacterial SSU rRNA". The stretch from base 1 to 658 matches the Rfam family "Bacterial small subunit ribosomal RNA", at positions 867 to 1533 of the family's 1533-position model. The record is from RNAcentral. Lineage: Bacteria; Pseudomonadati; Pseudomonadota; Alphaproteobacteria; Candidatus Pelagibacterales.